AGAGUUUGAUCAUGGCUCAGAUUGAACGCUGGCGGCGUGCCUAAUACAUGCAAGUCGAGCGAAUCUUUGGGAGCUUGCUCCCGAAGGUUAGCGGCGGACGGGUGAGUAACACGUGGGCAACCUGCCUGUAAGACUGGGAUAACUUCGGGAAACCGGAGCUAAUACCGGAUAAUCCUUUCCCUCACAUGAGGGAGAGCUGA
RNAcentral lists this ribosomal RNA (200 nucleotides) under uncultured bacterium. Its description in RNAcentral is "partial 16S ribosomal RNA". It matches the Rfam family "Bacterial small subunit ribosomal RNA", at positions 8 to 204 of the family's 1533-position model. The record is from RNAcentral.